GCACCCGUAGCUCAGUUGGAUAGAGCAUCAGGCUUCGAACCUGAGGGUCGGGCGUUCGAGUCGCUCCGGGUGCGCCA
Molecule: transfer RNA, 77 nt
Filed under: bacterium
Lineage: Bacteria
Also listed under: 3 other names
Description: tRNA-Arg
Rfam family: tRNA
About the family: Transfer RNA (tRNA) molecules are approximately 80 nucleotides in length. Their secondary structure includes four short double-helical elements and three loops (D, anti-codon, and T loops).
Source: RNAcentral